This 1448-nucleotide ribosomal RNA is filed under the name Staphylococcus aureus. RNAcentral describes it as "bacterial SSU rRNA". It matches the Rfam family "Bacterial small subunit ribosomal RNA". The record is from RNAcentral. Lineage: Bacteria; Bacillati; Bacillota; Bacilli; Caryophanales; Staphylococcaceae.
GGACGGGUGAGUAACACGUGGAUAACCUACCUAUAAGACUGGGAUAACUUCGGGAAACCGGAGCUAAUACCGGAUAAUAUUUUGAACCGCAUGGUUCAAAAGUGAAAGACGGUCUUGCUGUCACUUAUAGAUGGAUCCGCGCUGCAUUAGCUAGUUGGUAAGGUAACGGCUUACCAAGGCAACGAUGCAUAGCCGACCUGAGAGGGUGAUCGGCCACACUGGAACUGAGACACGGUCCAGACUCCUACGGGAGGCAGCAGUAGGGAAUCUUCCGCAAUGGGCGAAAGCCUGACGGAGCAACGCCGCGUGAGUGAUGAAGGUCUUCGGAUCGUAAAACUCUGUUAUUAGGGAAGAACAUAUGUGUAAGUAACUGUGCACAUCUUGACGGUACCUAAUCAGAAAGCCACGGCUAACUACGUGCCAGCAGCCGCGGUAAUACGUAGGUGGCAAGCGUUAUCCGGAAUUAUUGGGCGUAAAGCGCGCGUAGGCGGUUUUUUAAGUCUGAUGUGAAAGCCCACGGCUCAACCGUGGAGGGUCAUUGGAAACUGGAAAACUUGAGUGCAGAAGAGGAAAGUGGAAUUCCAUGUGUAGCGGUGAAAUGCGCAGAGAUAUGGAGGAACACCAGUGGCGAAGGCGACUUUCUGGUCUGUAACUGACGCUGAUGUGCGAAAGCGUGGGGAUCAAACAGGAUUAGAUACCCUGGUAGUCCACGCCGUAAACGAUGAGUGCUAAGUGUUAGGGGGUUUCCGCCCCUUAGUGCUGCAGCUAACGCAUUAAGCACUCCGCCUGGGGAGUACGACCGCAAGGUUGAAACUCAAAGGAAUUGACGGGGACCCGCACAAGCGGUGGAGCAUGUGGUUUAAUUCGAAGCAACGCGAAGAACCUUACCAAAUCUUGACAUCCUUUGACAACUCUAGAGAUAGAGCUUUCCCCUUCGGGGGACAAAGUGACAGGUGGUGCAUGGUUGUCGUCAGCUCGUGUCGUGAGAUGUUGGGUUAAGUCCCGCAACGAGCGCAACCCUUAAGCUUAGUUGCCAUCAUUAAGUUGGGCACUCUAAGUUGACUGCCGGUGACAAACCGGAGGAAGGUGGGGAUGACGUCAAAUCAUCAUGCCCCUUAUGAUUUGGGCUACACACGUGCUACAAUGGACAAUACAAAGGGCAGCGAAACCGCGAGGUCAAGCAAAUCCCAUAAAGUUGUUCUCAGUUCGGAUUGUAGUCUGCAACUCGACUACAUGAAGCUGGAAUCGCUAGUAAUCGUAGAUCAGCAUGCUACGGUGAAUACGUUCCCGGGUCUUGUACACACCGCCCGUCACACCACGAGAGUUUGUAACACCCGAAGCCGGUGGAGUAACCUUUUAGGAGCUAGCCGUCGAAGGUGGGACAAAUGAUUGGGGUGAAGUCGUAACAAGGUAGCCGUAUCGGAAGGUGCGGCUGGAUCACCUCCUUU